This 29-nucleotide non-coding RNA is filed under the name Mus musculus (house mouse). The record is from RNAcentral. Lineage: Eukaryota; Metazoa; Chordata; Mammalia; Rodentia; Muridae.
UCACAUUUUAUGUGCCACUGUGUUUGAUG